UUAAUUGAAGCCAAAGAGAGGCAUUUCAUUGUUAAUGAAAAAAAUGAUUAUUUAUCCAAUUAAA
RNAcentral lists this transfer RNA (64 nucleotides) under Valentia hoffmanni. RNAcentral describes it as "tRNA-Asn". The record is from RNAcentral. Lineage: Eukaryota; Metazoa; Arthropoda; Insecta; Hemiptera; Reduviidae.